This 370-nucleotide unclassified non-coding RNA is filed under the name Bursera tecomaca. RNAcentral's name for it is "partial external transcribed spacer". Lineage: Eukaryota; Viridiplantae; Streptophyta; Magnoliopsida; Sapindales; Burseraceae. The record is from RNAcentral.
UUCGGUAUCCUGUGUUGCUUACCUAUCGAAAGGAAUCCGAUGGUUUCGUUCGUCCCUUUCCGCCCCCUGCCCUCACGGGUUUUCGGGGUGGACGUCAGGCAAGCCUCGUGUUCCCGGCAUGCUUCGCCCAGCUGCGUCGCUGCCUCGGCCCAUGAGGUGCUUUGCCCGUGCUCUCGGAUGCGGAAUGUUAUGUGCGGGCGUGGGGUCUCUUGGCUCCGUUUGCCCAAGCAACGCAUUUGUCCAUCGACACGAACGACUGCCGUGCCCGUCUUGAGCCCGCGGACGUACGGCCCGUCGGGCCUCAUGCGGGCGUCGGCGUCGCGAAGGAAUGCUACCUGGUUGAUCCUGCCAGUAGUCAUAUGCUUGUCUC